Molecule: ribosomal RNA, 253 nt
Filed under: uncultured Eubacteriales bacterium
Lineage: Bacteria; Bacillati; Bacillota; Clostridia; Eubacteriales
Description: uncultured Clostridiales bacterium partial 16S ribosomal RNA
Rfam family: Bacterial small subunit ribosomal RNA
Source: RNAcentral
UACGGAGGGUGCAAGCGUUACGCGGAAUCACUGGGCGUAAAGAGCGCGUAGACGGCAGCGCAAGUCUGGAGUGAAAUCCCAUGGCUUAACCAUGGAACUGCUUUGGAAACUGUGCAGCUGGAGUGCAGGAGAGGUAAGCGGAAUUCCUAGUGUAGCGGUGAAAUGCGUAGAUAUCAGGAGGAACACCAGUGGCGAAGGCGGCUUGCUGGACGAUGACUGACGUUGAGGCUCGAAAGCGUGGGGAGCAAACAGG